RNAcentral lists this ribosomal RNA (254 nucleotides) under uncultured bacterium. Its description in RNAcentral is "partial 16S ribosomal RNA". It matches the Rfam family "Bacterial small subunit ribosomal RNA", at positions 524 to 776 of the family's 1533-position model. The record is from RNAcentral.
UACGGGGGGGGCAAGCGUUGUUCGGAAUUACUGGGCGUAAAGGGCUCGUAGGCGGCCAACUAAGUCGGAUGUGAAAUCCCCAGGCUUAACCUGGGAACUGCAUCCGAUACUGGAUGGCUUGAAUCCGGGAGAGGGAUGCAGAAUUCCAGGUGUCGCGGUGAAAUGCGUAGAUAUCUGGAGGAAUACCGGUGGCGAAGGCGGCAUCCUGGACCGGCAUUGACGCUGAGUGAGCGAAAGCCAGGGGAGCAAACGGG